This 466-nucleotide ribosomal RNA is filed under the name uncultured bacterium. RNAcentral describes it as "bacterial SSU rRNA". It matches the Rfam family "Bacterial small subunit ribosomal RNA", at positions 28 to 507 of the family's 1533-position model. The record is from RNAcentral.
GACGAACGCUGGCGGCGUGCCUAACACAUGCAAGUCGAGCGAAGGGAGUCUUCGGAACAAACCUAGCGGCGGACGGGUGAGUAACACGUGGGCAACCUACCUCAAAGAGGGGGAUAGCCUCCCGAAAGGGAGAUUAAUACCGCAUAAAAUCAUGCUCUCGCAUGGGAGAAUGAUCAAAGGAGCAAUCCGCUUUGAGAUGGGCCCGCGGCGCAUUAGCUAGUUGGUGAGGUAACGGCUCACCAAGGCCACGAUGCGUAGCCGACCUGAGAGGGUGAUCGGCCACAUUGGAACUGAGAUACGGUCCAGACUCCUACGGGAGGCAGCAGUGGGGAAUAUUGCACAAUGGGCGAAAGCCUGAUGCAGCAACGCCGCGUGAGGGAUGACGGCCUUCGGGUUGUAAACCUCUUUCAGCAGGGAAGAAGCGAAAGUGACGGUACCUGCAGAAGAAGCACCGGCUAACUACGUG